RNAcentral lists this ribosomal RNA (446 nucleotides) under uncultured bacterium. RNAcentral describes it as "partial 16S ribosomal RNA". It matches the Rfam family "Bacterial small subunit ribosomal RNA", at positions 338 to 795 of the family's 1533-position model. The record is from RNAcentral.
CCUACGGGAGGCAGCAGUAGGGAAUUUUCGGCAAUGGGGGGAACCCUGACCGAGCAACGCCGCGUGAACGAAGAAGUUAUUCGUAAUGUAAAGUUCUUUUAACAGGGAAGAACGAGAAAUUUGACGGUACCUGAUGAAUAAGCUCCGGCUAACUACGUGCCAGCGGCUGCGGUAAUACGUAGGGAGCGAGCGUUAUCCGGAAUUAUUGGGCGUAAAGGAUUCGUAGAUGGCAUAGUAAGUCUUUUGUAAAAAUGCUGGGCUCAACCCAGUAGGGCAAAAGAUACUGCAAAGCUAGAGUAUGAGAGAGGAAAGUGGAACUACAGGUGUAGCGGUAAAAUGCGUAAAUAUAUGGAGGAACACCAGUGGCGAAGGCGGCUUGCUGGGUCGAUACUGACAGUGAGGCACGAAAGCGUGGGGAGCAAACAGGAUUAGAUACCCGUGUAGUC